GUUUGAACUGUUAGUUGCACUUCAAAUGUUUGGUUGCGAUGAGCUCCUGGCAUGGCUAGGAAAUUUAUACUCCAGUUUGUGCAUCUACUUGUGAAUUCUACAGAAAUAGUCACUCACUGCAAUGUACCAUGUACUUCUAUCCUCACAAAGUAAAUUUGUACUUAGGUGAUAUUCUGGAGGCGAAGAAGUACCUUGGCGCAUGCUUUCCUCACAUCUCUAAAUUGAUCGAUGAUAAUCCCACUAUAGCACAUGGCACUUAUGAGUAUCUCCUUACAUCUCUGCAGGAAUACUUUGAUGGUGAAGAACUUGAUCUGUCCAUUGAUACUAAGCAUUAUUUGGCGUCUUUAGCUUGCUUCAGGCUGAUGAAUUUGAAGGCAACGAAUUUGGGUUUUAUCAUCACUAUUGUUGAGUCCUUUGUAUCAGAUUUGGAAAGGAAAAGAGAUCACUUGAUGGAGCGACCAUGAUUUUUGAGUCGCUGAGUCAAGUCAAAUCGCCAAGGCUGAGACUCCUGACUUGCUGACUUGACUCAGCGACUAGGGCUUGUAUAGUCGCCCCAAGUCGCCUGCAGUAAACGACCAAAAUACUCUCAUUUGCGAAGCCCAUUAAGGCCACAUGAGCAAAAUUGGCGUGGUCAUCUAUCCCAGCCAGGCUGACCAGGCCCAGCACGGCCCAGCUAACAACUCCCAGGCUCACCUCUCACUUAACCUAGCAAUUACAUGAAUCGAUCCUCCAAGCGCCGCCAGCCGCACUCAGGCACGCAAGCUCGCUCGAGCCUCUCACCUCUCCCCUAUUCUUCCUCUGCGACGCCGGCGAGGAGCAGCGGCGACCGGCGGCAGACGGCGGCGGCUCGAGCCUCUCCUCCUGAGCUCAGCCCUUUCUUUCCCAUCCCAUCCCCUUCUCUCUGAAAUACCGACACAGGGAGAGAUCCCCCACAAAAAUUUUCUGGCUGACAAACAGGGGUGACCGACGACUAUUCCCCGCCGAGGUAUAGUCGCUGUAUAGCCGCCGGCGAGCCAGGAAGUCGCGCGACUCGCUCGCUGAGUCAAGUCGCUAGUGCGGCUCGUCCAUGGCAGAACGACUUGGCGAUUAGUCGGCGAUUAGUCGCCGACUCAAAAAUCAUGGGAGCGACUCACGCUCCCAACAUUGAUAGGUGCUGCUUCUGCAAACUAGGGUCCGGUGAUCACCAUGUUGCACAUGAAGGGAGUCUGUCUCGGUAGUCAUAGUCCUCUUUCAUUGCUACUUCGUCCAGUUUGUCGGAAUCGAAACUGAGAUGUUAGCUCAAUGUGCCCGUAAACAUGGUGUCCGGAGGGCAAGUUGGGCAGCUUUAGGCAACAAUGCUCACAUGCCUGAAUAUUUUCGUGAAACUUGUGAUGUUGUUGUGCACUCGUGCCCCUAGUUUCUAGUGAUGCUAUUGUCGCGGUAUUUGUUAGUUGCUCGUCUUUUGGUAACCGUUGAAUCAAACUAUACUGAAAUUUGAAUUAUGUCUGCCAUUUUGGGUUUA
This is a long non-coding RNA of Lolium perenne, 1501 nucleotides long. RefSeq lists it as uncharacterized. NCBI's taxonomy places the organism in Eukaryota, Viridiplantae, Streptophyta, Magnoliopsida, Poales, Poaceae. The record is from RefSeq and is a predicted model, not a curated record.